This 323-nucleotide ribosomal RNA is filed under the name Sutcliffiella cohnii. Its description in RNAcentral is "bacterial SSU rRNA". It matches the Rfam family "Bacterial small subunit ribosomal RNA", at positions 1149 to 1472 of the family's 1533-position model. Lineage: Bacteria; Bacillati; Bacillota; Bacilli; Caryophanales; Bacillaceae. The record is from RNAcentral.
CUGCCGGUGACAAACCGGCGGAAGGUGGGGAUGACGUCAAAUCAUCAUGUCCCUUAUGACCUGGGCUACACACGUGCUACAAUGGACGGUACAAAGGGCAGCAAAACCGUGAGGUCGAGCCAAUCCCAUAAAACCGUUUUCAGUUCGGAUUGUAGGCUGCAACUCGCCUACAUGAAGCCGGAAUCGCUAGUAAUCGCGGAUCAGCAAGACGCGGUGAAUACGUUCCUGGGCCUUGUACACACCGCCCGUCACACCACGAGAGUUAGUACUUUUCCGAAGUCGGUGGGUAAUAUUUGGAAACAACCACCAAAAGGAGGGGUUGC